ACACCACAUCUGACAAACAUCUUCCCUGGUCCAAAAGUUGAGCUUGAGGAAAAUGACAGGAUACAGUAUAAAUGUGAACAGACCUGGACAACAUUGUAUUCUGUCACAAGUAUUCAAACCUAUACGCAAAGCCUCAACAUGAGUGGGCCUUAUAAUGUAUGCGGCACAUCCUUCGGUUUUCCUAGCUCAUUUGGAAGAUAUCAAGAAAUUCCUGUUGGAGAAAUGUAUUAUGAACAGAAGGAAAAGAACUGUGUUUCUGUUAAAUCAUUUUACACAUAUGAAAGGAAUGACAAAGCAGCAAUCGAUAAUGACCGAAAACCAUUUCAUAGACCCCAGAGUUCUUUUGGUUCCUGUGAAAGUCAUGGAAGAAUUAAUACAAGAAAAAGGUCCUAUGAAUGCAAACUAUGUAGUAAAUCUUUCAUGUAUCCUUCUUUACUUCAAAAACAUGAAAUAACCCAUUCCCGUGAAAAACCCUACAGAUGCCUACAAUGUGGGAAAGCUUUCAGAAAUCUCAGUUCUCUUCAGAAGCAUAACAUAGUUCAUACUGAGGAAAAGCCUUAUAAAUGUCCUUAUUG
RNAcentral lists this long non-coding RNA (575 nucleotides) under Rattus norvegicus (Norway rat). RNAcentral describes it as "long non-coding RNA NONRATT000630". The record is from RNAcentral. Lineage: Eukaryota; Metazoa; Chordata; Mammalia; Rodentia; Muridae.